AGGUGGGGGAAGAGUACCUGAAUGAGCUUAUUUGCAGGAGUCUGAUAAAGGCAAAUGAAAUGGACUUUGAUGAAAGGCCAAUAACUGUUGGAGUCCAUAGUCUCAUGCAUAGGAUAAUUCUCUCAGUGUCACAAGAGGAGAACUUCUGUACUGUUUGUGCAGGACCAGAAGGAAACUUGGCUGACAAACCCUGGCGCCUAUCCAUCCAGACGGGAAACUUUCAUCCGGACGGGAAACUUUGAUGUGUCUCAGGACUUAACCUGUGUUCGAACUUUUUUCAGUUUCAGUACAGGUAGGGUAAACAUUGGUUCGAAUUUCAAACUAUUGAAGGUUUUGGACAUACAAAGCACUCCUUUGGGAAACUU
Molecule: long non-coding RNA, 365 nt
Filed under: Vitis vinifera (wine grape)
Lineage: Eukaryota; Viridiplantae; Streptophyta; Magnoliopsida; Vitales; Vitaceae
Description: long non-coding RNA (VVIN_LNC001353)
Source: RNAcentral